AACUUUCAACUAUGGAUCACUUGGCUCUCGCAUCGAUGAAGAACGCAGCGAAAUGCGAUAAGUAAUGUGAAUUGCAGAAUUCAGUGAAUCAUCGAAUCUUUGAACGCACCUUACGCUCCUUGGUAUUCAGAGGAGCAUGCCUGUUUGAGUGUCAUUAAAUUCUCAUUCUACAAACUUUUAUUAGCUUGGAUAGGCUUGGAUGUGGGGGUUGCAGGCUUCAUCAAUGAUGUCAGCUCUUCUUAAAUGCAUUAGCGGAACUUUUGUGGACCGUCUAUUGGUGUGAUAAUUAUCUACGCCUUGGAUGAGAAACAGCUUUAUCAAGUUCAGCUUCUAACCGUCCAUUGACUUGGACAAUUUUGACAAUUUCACCUCAAAUCAGGUAGGACUACCCGCUGAACUUAAGCAUAUCAAUAAGCGGAGGCU
This 423-nucleotide unclassified non-coding RNA is filed under the name uncultured Laccaria. RNAcentral's name for it is "sequence contains ITS2". The stretch from base 1 to 154 matches the Rfam family "5.8S ribosomal RNA". The record is from RNAcentral. Lineage: Eukaryota; Fungi; Basidiomycota; Agaricomycetes; Agaricales; Tricholomataceae.